RNAcentral lists this ribosomal RNA (229 nucleotides) under uncultured bacterium. Its description in RNAcentral is "partial 16S ribosomal RNA". It matches the Rfam family "Bacterial small subunit ribosomal RNA", at positions 568 to 796 of the family's 1533-position model. The record is from RNAcentral.
UGCGCAGGUGGGGGUGUAAGUCAGUGGUGAAAUGUUGCCGCUCAACGGUAAAAUUGCCAUUGAUACUGCAUCUCUUGAGUAUGGUUGAGGUAGGCGGAAUGUGUUGUGUAGCGGUGAAAUGCAUAGAUAUGACACAGAACACCGAUUGCGAAGGCAGCUUACUAAGCCAUUACUGACGCUGAGGCACGAAAGCGUGGGGAGCGAACAGGAUUAGAUACCCUGGUAGUCC